This 34058-nucleotide long non-coding RNA is filed under the name Citrus maxima (pomelo). Its description in RNAcentral is "long non-coding RNA (CMAX_LNC004401)". The stretch from base 5003 to 5534 matches the Rfam family "Group I catalytic intron". Lineage: Eukaryota; Viridiplantae; Streptophyta; Magnoliopsida; Sapindales; Rutaceae. The record is from RNAcentral.
CCUUUUAUAUUCCACUGAUAGGGCUAACAGACAAUUAAUUUUUAAUUAUACCAAACGAAAAUAGAUAUCGAAAUUCUAAAGAAAUAAAAUUCUAAAUAAAUAACAGAGAGUUUCUUAUUCGAAACGUCCGUGAUCUUCAACCAAUUCUGCGCUUGAAUAUAAUUACCAGGAGUAAGCGCAAUAGCUUGUUUCCAAUACUCGGCAGCUUGAUUGAACCAAGCCUCCGCAAUUUCAGAAUCUCCCUGUCGAACGGCCUGUUCCCCCCGGUCGGAAUAGGUUUCAAUUCCUUUCCUUAGAACCGUACUUGAGAGUUUCCCGCCUCAUACGGCUCGGCAAUCAAUUCUUUUGGUGUCCCGGGUUUUUGAAUCUAGUAUAUCGAAUUGAAUGAGAUUUCUCAUAGAUCGAUCUUUAUCUUUAUUCUUUUUUUUUGGGGGGUUAACCAAAAGAGAGUUUCAAACUUGACUUUUGAUUAAAUUAAUAAUCAGCUUUGCUUUCAUUUUAUCUUUUCUCCCACCGUCAGAAGAAUAACAUAGAAGCAUUUCCACUAUAGUUAGAAUUUCUGAAAGGUAUCUAUCUCGGUUUCAUAUAAAAAUUGAUAUAGAAUCUUUGAAAAAGCCCUUUCUUCCUAAGAAAGAAAAGGCUUACUGUCUUUGGGAUCUGAUGCUACACCGCUGCUCAAUACCUUAGGGGAUCGACUUUAUUACAUAAGUGGAUUCCUUACUUUUAUCUCAUAUCAUGACAUAAAUAAGCAGUUCUUAUUGGAUCGGCAUCGGCCCAAAACCUCGCGAAUUGAUCUUUACGGUGCUUCCUCUAUCAAUUAGAUCCUUUAUCCAUAGAAUAAACUAUCUAGGCAUAUCGAUUUCUUCAUAUUUCGACUUCUAUGAAGUUUCUUUCUUUGCUACAGCUGAUAAAAAUCGUUUUUGCACGAUGCAUAUGUAGAAAGCCUAUUUUUUUUUUUUCGAGUAUUUAUUAGUGUAUUUGCUCUUUACCCCCCUCCUUUUUUUUUUUCUUUUACUUUUUUCUUUCUAUAGUAGAGAUAGUCGCACGUAAUGACAGAUCACAGCCAUAUUAUUAAAAGCUUGUGGUAAGAACGGAUUUCGUUCUAGUGCCCGAAAAUAAUAUUCUAAAGCUUUUGUAUGUUCUCCGUUACUUGUGUGGAUAAGGCCUAUGUUAUAGAGUAUAUAGCUUCGAUCGUAAGGAUCAAUUUCUAGUCGCAUAGCUUCAUAAUAAUUCUGUAAAGCUUCCGCAUAAUUGCCUUCAGAUUGAGCUGACAUCCGUUACGGUCGUCAUUCGAUUCAAAGAAUUCUCCGUUUCAAAACCGUACAUGAGAUGAAAAUCUCAUACGGCUCCUCCUUUAUGUGCAUUAUGAGAAUAAUCCAUGAAAUCAAAAAAGAUUGAAAUAUUCUCAUUAUGAACUAAGUGGGGCUAAUGUUUUUACAAGAAAUCUCUAGCCAACCUUCCUGCAAAAGCUUUUUUCUUAAUAUCACGCGUGUUGGUACUAGAUAAAACCGGAAACUCCAACAAUUUCUUUGUUCUCAACGCCCCUUAAUUUACAGGAAUUAAUCACUUCAACAGUCUUCGAUGGUUAUACGGGUAUCCACAGUACGAACGAGAUGGAUGUUUGUUAUCCCAACCAUUCUUCUUAGUCCCGAUCCCGCUAAGGAAAGGGGGCAGCUUAUAACAAAGUUUUCGUGUUGCUGAUUCCUAGACGUAGCGCCUCUUCCCCUAUGCCGCCUAUUGGUACUGGUGUAGUAGGGUUGACUUGCAAUACAGAACCCAUAGGUGUAACCUUUCGCUCAAUACUAGAAUCGACAAUUGAAGCAUCUGAGGCUGCAUUAAUCGGGAUACACGACAGAAGGAAUGGUUUUAUCUAUAAACUUCACCUUCAACAAGCGUAGAUUUUUUCAAUAAUCUUUUUUUUUUUUUUUCUAUCCCGAAUUGUCUUUCUUUCUUCUAAGACCGAAAGGGGUAAAUAAAAAACUAAUCAAAUCGCACCAUCUCUGUAAUAGGUAAAUGCCUCUUUUUCUCCUACAGUUGUCGGAAUUAUUCGUAAUAAUAUAUUGGCUACAAUCGAAAAGGUCUUAUCAAUAAAAUUUCCGUUUAUCCGCGAUCUAGGCAUAGGUAAAAAUCCAUUCUAUAAUUCGUUUCAUUACCUCUUGUGAGAAAAUGAUCCCACAAACAAAGGAAUUGUACAGUACAAAAAUAACAUAAAAGCAGACGUGUUAAAAAAAAAUAAAAAAAAAAAUAGACCGAUCCGUUGAUUCGUUCCAACUCAUUGAUUAAAUCAGGUAGAAAUAUCAGAAAAAAAAAAAAAAAGGAGCGCCAUCUUUGCAAACAAGAUAUAUAGCCUUAUUGUUUUUUGUUUUGAACAGUUUUUCACAAACAAAAAAGUUAUCCUUUUCCCCAGACUCAAAGGAAGAAUUUUUUCUUUGCUGAAAGGGUUUCUAUUUUUCUAGUUAGAACGGAUUCGAUUGUCCGUACCCAUCUACCAAUCGAAUUUGAACAACUCGCUAUUCACGCGGGUUCUCGGUCAUAAUCAUUGUGUAGGAGAGAUGGCCGAGUGGUUCAAGGCGUAGCAUUGGAACUGCUAUGUAGACUUUUGUUUACCGGGGGUUCGAAUCCCUCUCUUUCCGUACCUUGAACUAAUUCAUCAAUGUUACUGACCGGAAUGUAUCCAAGCAAAAAAGAAUGAAUACCGAAGCAGUCAGACCUUUUUUUGAGCUAGAUUCUCAAUUCCUACGGGAAAGAAAGGGAAGGGGCAGGCAGGGGAUAAAAAUCUACCCUCGGAUCUAUGAUACAUGAAUGGGAUAAAAAAAAACUCCACGGAUCAAACUCCUUACCUUGUAUCCCUUCCUUAAGUUAGGUGAAAGGGUAAAUUUGUACGAGCCCGUUAUUUUAGUUAGGUUUAAGUUUGACGAGAAUAAUAUUCUACGACAAGCAAUUCAUUUAUUUUCAAACCGACCCAUUGACUAUCUAUUAUUUGAUUGACUAAUCCUUUAUAUUGGAAUGCGCGAAGAGUCAAAUGCUUUGGCAAUUCCUCAUGGUGGGAUGAAUCAAGAUAAUUUUGAACCAGAGAUCUAGAUUUUGGGUCAUCCCUUACUGUAAUAAUAUCUCGGGGUUUGCAACGAUAACUUGGUAUAUCGACUAUACGACCAUUAACUAAAAUAUGUCGAUGGUUAACCAAUUGGCGGGCUUGAGGAAUAGUUGAAGCCAUACCCAAUCGAAAAAGAAUGUUAUCCAAACGCAUUUCAAGUAAUUGUAGUAAAACCAGACCGGUUGACCCUUUGGCUUUUCUGGCGAUACGAACAUAUUUAAGUAAUUGUCGUUCUGUAAGACCAUAAUGAAAACGCAAUUUUUGUUUUUCUUCUAAACGAAUUCGAUAUUGAGAUUUUUUUACGGAGCGCAAUUGGUUUCUAAAAUCGCUUCCGGCUCUAGGCCUUUUACUCGUUAGUCCCGGCAAAGCCCCCAGACGGCGUAUUUUUUUGAAACGAGGCCCUCGGUAACGUGACAUAAAGACUCCUUAUUUUAUUGAAUUUCAUAAACCUAAAUUAAAACUGAGCUACAUGAUAAAUGAAGCAAAAUCCGCUGAAGUAUUGUACUACAAAGAAUACUAAGAUGAUUUGUAUCAAAUUCCAGACCCCUUUUUGUAUUGUAUACGCAUAUAGAAAUAUAAAUCAAAAGAGGGUUCCUUUUCUUGAUUUAUUCUGCCGAAAUCGAACUUCCUCCAACUUUUAUUCAUAAUUGGAAGCUCCUACAACAUACUGGAUCGAUGAUCCUUGGAAGAAGCCUUUUCAAUGUUCUUUUCUUUCAAAAAGACAUUAUCAAUCAUGUAAAAAAUCAAACAAAUAGAGAAAAGCCGGCUAUCGGAAUCGAACCGAUGACCAUCGCAUUACAAAUGCGAUGCUCUAACCUCUGAGCUAAGCGGGCUUAAUAAGAGAAAUUGUACAUGCGUAGGGAUCCUAGGAUCUUAUCUAUUAACCUUUUAUUCUUAGCUAUUCAUAAAGAAUAAAAUAGAGAAUCGAAUUUCAAAUAAAUGUUGAAUACUAUAGAUAUAGAACAUAACGAUUAAUCUAACAAUUACGAGAAUCUAGUGAUGAUAUAUAUUAGCGAAUUUGGAUUUUUUUAUCAAUUCUAUAUUGAUCAACAAUAAAUAUCUUACUCUUAAUUAGAUAAUAAAAUACGAUUUGAUUUAUUUAUUUUUUUUUUUUUCAUUUUUGAAUUCAAGACAUUUAAAAUUAUUUUUUUGUUUCUAACCUAAGAUUCUUAUAUUCUAUUCGAUUAUUCUAUAUUAUAGAAUAUACAUAAUAUUCGAUUAUUAUUCUAUAUUCUAUAUAUAUUUAGUUAUUCUAAAUCGAAUAUUAUAUUCGAUUCUUAUUAUCCAUUUUCGAAAUUCUAAAUUUGCUCUAUUCUAAUUCGAAAUAAUUAGGCUUUAGACUAAAUAAUUAGAAUUAUCUUCGAAUUCUAAUUUAAUUGACUGAGUAGUUAUAGCUAUUCUAUUGAUUAGGUCUAGCUAUUAUAUUCUAAAUGAUUAAUAAAAAUGAUUUAUUUUUAUUUAAUAAAUUGAAAUUGGAAUUUGAGUUUUUUUGGUUAUGUUAUAUAGGUUCUUCCUUAAGGAAAGGGCAAGUAUAAAUAGAAAAUGAAAUGAAAGAGAAAGAUACAAUCCCGCUAAAUGGAAUCUGGAUUAGAAUGAGACAUUUUUGUUUUCAUUCGAAAAGGGGCGUAAGAAAAAACGAAAAAAUAAAUCGACCGUUCGAGUAUUCCGCCGGAUUGCACGAAAAAAAUGAGAGUAAGGGGGCAUAUAUAUUUUAUGGUAGUUUAUAUCCAUCUAUAUUGAAUUGCGGAUACAGAAAAGAUAGAAUCAUUUCUGACAAGAAAGCAAAACACCUUUCGAUAUAUAUAAAUCCAUAUCUACGGAAUUCUACUGUUUCCGCAGAAAUGAAAGAAAGGGGGAACAGCAUUGAGUUCCUAAAACACAAAGGGGAUAUGGCGAAAUUGGUAGACGCUACGGACUUAAUUGGAUUGAGCCUUAGUAUGGAAACUUACUAAGUGAUAACUUUCAAAUUCAGAGAAACCCAGGAAUUAAAAAUGGGUAAUCCUGAGCCAAAUCCUCUUCUCUUUUCCAAGAACAAACAGGGGUUCAGAAAGCGAAAAAGGGGAUAGGUGCAGAGACUCAAUGGAAGCUGUUCUAACAAAUGGAGUUGACUGCCCUUUUUGGUAAAGAAAAAAGAAAGUCAAAUGAAUGCUUCUAUCGAAUAUCGAAACUCGAUAAAGGAUGAAGGAUAAGGGUAUAUAGACUAUGUAUACGCAGCGAAAAACUAACUCAAAAAUCACAACCAAAUACGUAUUUCUUUUUAUGAAAAAGAAAAGAAUUGUUAUUGUUAUGAAUCGAUUCUAAGUUGAAGAAAAAUCGAAUAUUCCGGCUCAAAUCAUUCACUCCACCUCCAUGGUCUGAUCGAUCCUUUCUUUUGACUUUUGAAGAACUGAUUAAUCGGACGAGAAUAAAGAUAGAGUCCCAUUCUACAUGUCAAUAUCAAUACGGGCAACAAUGAAAUUUAGAGUAAAAGGAAAAUCCGUCGACUUUAGAAAUCGUGAGGGUUCAAGUCCCUCUAUCCCCACCCCAAAAAAGGCCUAUUGACUCCCUAACCAUUUCUCCUACCUUCUCCUUUUUUUGUUAGUGGUUCAAAAGUCGGUAGGUUUCUCAUCUAUCCUACUCUUUUCCAUUUCCAAAAGGAUAUGGGCAGAAUUUUUUUCUCUUAUCACAAGCCGUAUGGUCUAUACGAUAUAUGUAGAAAUGAACACCUUUGAGCAAGGAAUCCCCGUUUUAAUGAUUCCCAAUCCAUAUUAUUGCUCAUACUGAAACUUACAAAGUCUUCUUUUGAUGAUUCAAGAAAUGAAAUUCCCCUCCCAAGACUUUUAAUCCCUGUUUAUUUUUAAUUGACAUAGACCCAAGUCAUCUAGUAAGAUGAGAACGGUGUGUCGGAAAUGGUCGGGAUAGCUCAGCUGGUAGAGCAGAGGACUGAAAAUCCUCGUGUCACCAGUUCAAAUCUGGUUCCUGGCAUAUGAUUAAUAUCUAUGAGUAUCUAUCACUACAAAUUCAGUGAUAUGGCUCGCCAUACAUAUUCAUUUAUAGAUCAUGAUACAUACAUACUUAUCCAUCUAGCUCGAUGUCUGGGAAUAGGCCUUUUUUCUUUUAUUUUUUUUUAUUUUAUUUCCUUCCCCUCUCUGUGACCCGCUAGAGCCCGUCGAAGUGGUGUGCGCGAUACAAAGUUCAUGAUACAGAACUCUUUAAUUUCUUUAUCCCAUUCACAAUAAUAAUACGAAUGAGACUUCAAUUCCUCCGUUUGAUCUAGAGAAAGAACGUACAAAUAUUUCUUGAAUAUUGGGUCAAAAUGAAGAUUAAUUUCUUAGAAUUCAAUAAGCAUCUUGUAUUUCAUAAAAAUUGGGGCAAUAUAAUCCUUACGUAAGGGCCACCCUAUCCAACUUUCAGGCAUUAAGAUACGUUUCAGUCGUGGAUGAUUAUCAUAAAGGAUUCCCAGCAUAUCAUAAGAUUCCCGUUCUUGAAAAUUCGCACUUUUCCAAACCCAGAAAACCGAUGGAAUUUUAGGAUUACUCCUUGGAGCAAAUACUUUUAUGCAUACCUCUUCUGGUUGAUCUACACCAUACUCUAUUCGCGUAAGAUGAUACACACUGGCUAACAGUCCGCCCGGUGCUACAUCAUAGGCACAUUGGGACCGUAGAUAAUUGUAGCCAUAUAUAUACAAAAUGACAGCAACGGAGUGCCAAUCCUCGGGCUUUAUUUGUAAAGUUUCUAUUCCUUGGUAAUCAAAGCCCAAAGAUCUAUGAACUAGCCCAUGCUUGACCAGCCAAGCAGACAAACGACCCUGCAUCUUUUUUAUCUCUCCCACAUUUUGAUUUCGAUAAAUAUUUCACAUUUACGAUGAAUUUUUGGAAUUUAUGAAGAUUAAUUCGCUCUUUCUAUUCUGUACAAAUGAAUCCUCCUGCCUAAUUAAUGAAUUCGGGGAAGAUACUGAACUUUUGUAUUUGAAAAAGGUUUCAGGGCGGAUUUCUGACGUAGAUGGUGGUUGAUAAAGUAAUCCUUGAUCAUAAUUUCCAGUAUUAGUACUGCAUACAACACGAAACUGUGUGAUUGGUAGUAAAAGUAAACGAGCGAUUCUCCCGUUGCAAUCGAAUUCGAUCUUCAUAGAUUUCUCGAGAUAUUUUCUUACGAAGUUUUGUUAUGGCAUCUAUAACGGCCUCUGGUUUAGGCGGGCAACCCGGCAAAUAAACAUCCACGGGAAUUAGCUUAUCAACUCCUCGAACAGUACUAUACGAAUCGGUACUGAACAUCCCCCUGUAAUUGUACAUGCUCCCAUAGCAAUAACAUAUUUUGGUUCAGGCAUUUGUUCAUAUAAUCUCACAAGAAGGAGCCAUUUUCAUUGUUACUGUACCAGCUGUUAAAAUUAGGUCCGCCUGUCUAGGGCUCGAUCUUGGUACCAGCCCAUAACGGUCAAAAUCGAACCGCGAGCCGAUUAAUGAAGCAAAUUCAAUGAAACAACAACUGGUACCAUAAAGAAGCGGCCAUAAGCUGGAGAGUCUUGACCAAUUUGAAAGAUCGUUUGAUGUAGUUGAAAUAAAUGAAUUUGGGGUUGUUCGAUCAAGUAAGGAAAAUUCAAUAGAAUUCAUAAUUCUCUCAAUGUUAUUUUUGUUUUUUUUUUUUUUUUUACUUUUUUGUUAUUGUCUGAAUAUUCAGAAACUAAGACCACUCUAAUGCUCCUUUUCGCCACGCAUAAACUAAACCAACAAUUAGGAUAAGCAUGAAAAUGAAAGCUUCUAUAAAUACGGGUACCCCCAAUACAUCAAAACUCAUUGCCCAUGGAUAAAGAAAAACGGUUUCAACAUCAAAAACAACAAAAACUAGAGCAAACAUAUAAUACCGGAUUCGAAAUUGUAACCAAGCAUCGCCCAUUGGUUCGAUACCCGAUUCAUAACUAGAAAGUUUCUCUGGCCCUUUGUUAAUCGGGGCUAAAACUGCGGAAAUUAGAAAUGCCAAAAUAGGAAUAACGCUUGAUAUUAUUAGAAAUGCCCAGAAAAUAUCAUAUUUGUAAAGCAGAAACAUAGCCAAACUCCUAUGAAUGUGGAAAAUAGACCAAAUUUGUCGAUGCAAAUUGGAAUUCAUUGUCAAGUCAUCGAUAAUUGGUUAAUCAAAACAACAAUUCAUUUUGAUCGAACCGCAAAGUUUCGUUUGUUUGUUGUGAUGUCUCGUUUUAAGAUUUAUCGAUUGGAAUCCUAUUUUCAUUACACUUCCUUCGAUUUUAUUUCAAUAUAGUAUAAAUCUCUUAUACAAACAAAACAAACAAAACCCUUUUGCGUUCACCGCGCUUCGGACUUGUCUAAAUCAAAGGAAGUCAAAAGAAAAUUCGAAUUUUUGUUUCGAAUUUCGAAUUCGAAUCUUCGAAAUUCAAUCGAUUUUGAUUCUAUUCUCAAUAUAUAGAAUAUUUUCUGUUUCUGAAUUAUGUUUAUGAAAAGCUAUUCGUUUUUCAAACGCUGAGGUGUCAACAAAUACCGUAAUCCGUUCCUAUAUCCAUGCGACUUACUAUUCCAUUUGAGUUGGGUUACGUCGGCGUCUCCCCGGAUUCGUGUCAUGAUUUUGACUCCGCAAAUUCACCAAAAGUAGGUGAGUAUACCAAAGAAAGGAAGUAUCAAUAACUCUUUGAUUGUGAUGGGAACAGGAAAAGAGGCAAAUCCAUAUGGAAUUCCCAUACGAAGAUUAUUAUUAUUAAUUAUUGAAGAAAGAAAAAUGGGUUUGUUUAGCCGAAUCCGAGAUUCUAAAAAAAAAAAUAGCGAUUAAAUCCAUUGAAAUGCGCUUUAGUUUUCAUUUCAGUUUGAUGUUCUGCUCGGAACGAGCUCCCUCCGAGCGAGCUUUUGGAAUGAUUUGAUUUCGAUGAACCACAAGCAACCCCCAGCGACCAGUUACAAACAACAAAAAUACAAUGAAUGAGGAAAUGAAAACUAUACAAUUUUUGUGUUUCUGUAUUUCCAUUUUGAUUAUUAUUAUUUGAGAUUAGUAUAGGCUAUACGGACUCGAACCGUAGACCUUCUCGGUAAAACAGAUCGAACUAAUUCUUAUCAAAAUGAUUCGAACUCUUUCAAAGACCCAACAUGCAUUUUUUUUUUUUGCAUUGGGCUCUUUCAUUAACUGAUAGAAAUAUCAGUUAGUCUACCAUAUUUUUUUCUUGACAGACAACUAAGGAAAUGGCUCCAUGUGCUCUAAUUCAUUAUUUGGAUUCGGAUAUAGGAGCACUCCCAAAGUGUUUCAAAGAAGGGUUAUCUUGACGUAGGUCUGCUUAUGGCCUAGAUCAACCUAAACGAAAUGGAGUCUCUAUCAUCCUGAUUAAAGAAUCACAUAUGAAACUUCAUACGCCUUAAGGUUCAUAGAACGAAAAGAGAAUUUUUGAGGUCCUUAUACUCAUUAUGCCUAGCAUUGAAUAGACUAGGUAUUUACCUUAUCAAUCUCUCAAAUCGAUGAUGGAUUCUAUUUGGUUCCUAAAAGGGCACCCGAAUCGGACCGAUCCAUUUGUCAGGCUAUUGUUCUCUUGUUUUGUUCCCUACAAGCCACGGAGUCAGACAUUAAUUUCUCAAAAAGAUCAAUUCUUUUGAUUGCAUGAUGGACUCCUCUGAAAAACAUUGGCGCACGUGUAAACGAGGUGCUCUACCUAACUGAGCUAUAGCCCUUGUCCUUGUGAUACAUAUUUUAUCAUAUUAUGUAGAUAAUUUCUUGUCAAGAUGAAUAUUCCAUGAUCCCACACCAUAUCUCUUUGAUCUUUUGGAUUGGUAUUGCUUAGAAGUCCUAUUAGAUUUAUACUCCAUCGAUGGGAUGUGAUGGGUCUCUUUUUGUUUUUUGUUAUAAUGAUAAAUGACCUACUUAACUCAGUGGUUAGAGUAUUGCUUUCAUACGGCGGGAGUCAUUGGUUCAAAUCCAAUAGUAGGUAGAAAUUAUUAGAUACCACGGCCAAUGGUAUCUAAUAAGUUUUUCUACUCACCUUUGUUUAUUGAUUUUGUAUCUUUUCUAUCCGAUUCAAUUUGAUUUUCGAAUUGAAACCUUUUUCCUUCCGUCAGAAUCCAAUUCCACUUGAUUGAAUUUAAUUGGAUUCAAUUGGCAGAAUCAAAAUAGGGGUAUAAACAGAAAUUCGUUGGAUUAUUCUAUUCGGGCGCACCAACUAGUUAUGAAAUCGCAUUGAUAACCUCUACUCGUGUCCUAGCUCGUCUGAGAGCUAGAUUUGCCUCAAUUGUUUGUCUCUUGCUUUCAGCUUUCCUCAAAUUAGCUUCUGCUAUUUCAAGAGUUUGCUGGGCUUCUUGGGGAUCAAUGUCACUACUCUUCUCCGCAUCAUUUACUAAAAUAGUGAUCUCAUUAUUCCCUAUUCUAGCAAAACCACCCAUCAGAGCCAUCGUUAACCAUUGGUCGUUAAAGCGGAUUCUUAAAAUACCUAUAUCUACAGCUGUGGCAAUAGGCGCGUGAUUUGGUAAUACGCCGAUUUGUCCACUAUUAGUAGAUAAAAUGAUUUCUUUCACUUCUGAAUCCCAAACAAUUCGAUUAGGGGUCAGUACACAAAGAUUUAAGGUCAUUUUCUUCAAAUUACUCUCCAUUUCUAAGUUUGUAGCCUUCGCAGUAACUUCAUCUAUGUUACCUACCAAAUAAAAGGCCUGCUCAGGAAGACCAUCUAAUUCUCCGGACAGGAUCAAUUUAAACCCUCUAAUAGUUUCGGCUAGACCAACAUAUUUCCCCGGGGAACCGGUAAAUACUUCGGCUACGAAAAAGGGUUGUGAUAAGAAACGCUCAAUUUUUCGCGCCCUUGCUACAGUUAAACGAUCCUCUUCGGACAGUUCGUCCAACCCAAGGAUAGCUAUAAUGUCCUGAAGUUCUUUGUAACGUUGUAAAGUUUGCUUAACUCUUUGCGCCGUUUCAUAAUGUUCCUCGCCAACGAUCCGAGGUUGCAGCAUAGUUGACGUUGAGUCUAAAGGAUCAACUGCUGGAUAGAUACCUUAGCAGCUAAUCCUCUUGAUAGUACGGUAGUAGCAUCUAAAUGGGCAAAUGUCGUGGCAGGAGCGGGAUCAGUCAAAUCAUCCGCGGGUACAUAAACUGCUUGAAUAGAAGUUAUGGACCCCUCUUUGGUAGAAGUAAUUCUUUCUUGUAAAGAACCCAUUUCGGUACUAAGGGUAGGUUGAUAACCCCACAGCGGAGGCAUUCUACCCAAUAAGGCGGAUACCUCGGAUCCCGCUUGGACGAACGGAAGAUAUUGUCGAUAAAUAGAAGUACGUCUUGUUCAUUAACAUCUCGGAAAUAUUCCGCCAUAGUUAGGGCCGUCAAACCAACUCUCAUACGAGCUCCUGGUGGUUCAUUCAUCUGACCGUAGACUAGAGCCACUUUUGAUUCCGAAAGAUUUUGGUCAUUAAUUACUCCAGACUCUUUCAUUUCCAUGUAAAGAUCAUUUCCUUCACGAGUACGUUCACCGACUCCGCCAAAUACGGAUACACCCCCAUGGGCUUUGGCAAUGUUGUUGAUCAAUUCCAUAAUGAGUACUGUUUUACCCACCCCAGCUCCCCCCAAAUAGUCCGAUUUUUCCUCCCCGACGAUAAUAAGAGCUAAAAGAUCUACUACUUUAAUUCCUGUUUCAAAAAAUAGAUAAUCUUGUAUCUAACUGUAUAAAAGCAGGCGCGGAUUUAUGAAUAGGGGAUGUUGUGCGAGUAUCUACAGGACCUAAAUUAUCAACGGGCUCUCCAAGCACGUUGAAAAAUUCGUCCUAGAGUCACUCCGCCCGACUGGAACACUUAGAGGAGCUCCCGUGUCAAUUACUUCCAUACCCCUCGUUAGACCAUCUGUAGCACUCAUGGCUACAGCUCUAACUCGAUUAUUCCCUAAUAAUUGCUGUACCUCGCAAGUCACAUUAAUUGUUGAUCGACAGUAUCUCGACCCUUAACUACCAGAGCAUUGUAAAUAUUAGGCAUCUUGCCGGGGGGAAAGGCUACAUCCAGUACCGGACCAAUGAUUUGAGCGAUAUGUCCUAGGUUUUGUUUUGCAAACGCGGAACCCCAGGACCGGAAGUAGUAGGAUUUAUUCUCAUAAAUAAUAAAGUGAAAGAUGUCAAUUUUUUUUUUUUUUUCGAACUUGAUCGCAUCCAAAAAAAUCUUCGAUAGCACGUGGAUCGGUUAAUUCAAUAAGAAAUGGGAGUUCGCGCUCGAUUUCGUUGGUACCGUCCAACCGAAUGCAAUUCAAUAGUUUCCUUAUGCUUAUGCAUUUAUGCAAUUUCAAUGAGGGAAUUUUCAAGUUCAACCAACCGACUUUCAAAAUAUCAAGUGUGGUGAAUAAAAAUCUUGAGAAAGUCGUUCAUUAUAUCUAUCAUUAUAGACAAUACCCGCCAUAUUAUCUAUGGAGUUCGAACCUGAACUCUCUUUUUCGAUUCAUUANNNNNUUAAUUAAUUAANNNNNUUCUAGUGCCCGAAAAUAAUAUUCUAAAGCUUUUGUAUGUUCUCCGUUACUUGUGUGGAUAAGGCCUAUGUUAUAGAGUAUAUAGCUUCGAUCGUAAGGAUCAAUUUCUAGUCGCAUAGCUUCAUAAUAAUUCUGUAAAGCUUCCGCAUAAUUGCCUUCAGAUUGAGCUGACAUCCGUUACGGUCGUCAUUCGAUUCAAAGAAUUCUCCGUUUCAAAACCGUACAUGAGAUGAAAAUCUCAUACGGCUCCUCCUUUAUGUGCAUUAUGAGAAUAAUCCAUGAAAUCAAAAAAGAUUGAAAUAUUCUCAUUAUGAACUAAGUGGGGCUAAUGUUUUUACAAGAAAUCUCUAGCCAACCUUCCUGCAAAAGCUUUUUUCUUAAUAUCACGCGUGUUGGUACUAGAUAAAACCGGAAACUCCAACAAUUUCUUUGUUCUCAACGCCCCUUAAUUUACAGGAAUUAAUCACUUCAACAGUCUUCGAUGGUUAUACGGGUAUCCACAGUACGAACGAGAUGGAUGUUUGUUAUCCCAACCAUUCUUCUUAGUCCGAUCCCGCUAAGGAAAGGGGGCAGCUUAUAACAAAGUUUUCGUGUUGCUGAUUCCUAGACGUAGCGCCUCUUCCCCUAUGCCGCCUAUUGGUACUGGUGUAGUAGGGUUGACUUGCAAUACAGAACCCAUAGGUGUAACCUUUCGCUCAAUACUAGAAUCGACAAUUGAAGCAUCUGAGGCUGCAUUAAUCGGGGAUACACGACAGAAGGAAUGGUUUUAUCUAUAAACUUCACCUUCAACAAGCGUAGAUUUUUUCAAUAAUCUUUUUUUUUUUUUUUUUCUAUCCCGAAUUGUCUUUCUUUCUUCUAAGACCGAAAGGGGUAAAUAAAAAACUAAUCAAAUCGCACCAUCUCUGUAAUAGGUAAAUGCCUCUUUUUCUCCUACAGUUGUCGGAAUUAUUCGUAAUAAUAUAUUGGCUACAAUCGAAAAGGUCUUAUCAAUAAAAUUUCCGUUUAUCCGCGAUCUAGGCAUAGGUAAAAAUCCAUUCUAUAAUUCGUUUCAUUACCUCUUGUGAGAAAAUGAUCCCACAAACAAAGGAAUUGUACAGUACAAAAUAACAUAAAAGCAGACGUGUUAAAAAAAAUAAAAAAAAAAAAUAGACCGAUCCGUUGAUUCGUUCCAACUCAUUGAUUAAAUCAGGUAGAAAUAUCAGAAAAAAAAAAAAAAAGGAGCGCCAUCUUUGCAAACAAGAUAUAUAGCCUUAUUGUUUUUGUUUUGAACAGUUUUUCACAAACAAAAAAGUUAUCCUUUUCCCCAGACUCAAAGGAAGAAUUUUUUCUUUGCUGAAAGGGUUUCUAUUUUUCUAGUUAGAACGGAUUCGAUUGUCCGUACCCAUCUACCAAUCGAAUUUGAACAACUCGCUAUUCACGCGGGUUCUCGGUCAUAAUCAUUGUGUAGGAGAGAUGGCCGAGUGGUUCAAGGCGUAGCAUUGGAACUGCUAUGUAGACUUUUGUUUACCGGGGGUUCGAAUCCCUCUCUUUCCGUACCUUGAACUAAUUCAUCAAUGUUACUGACCGGAAUGUAUCCAAGCAAAAAAGAAUGAAUACCGAAGCAGUCAGACCUUUUUUUGAGCUAGAUCUCAAUUUCCUAACGGAAAGAAAGGGAAGGGGCAGGCAGGGGAUAAAAAUCUACCCUCGGAUCUAUGAUACAUGAAUGGGAUAAAAAAAAACUCCACGGAUCAAACUCCUUACCUUGUAUCCCUUUCCUUAAGUUAGGUGAAAGGGUAAAUUUGUACGAGCCCGUUAUUUUAGUUAGGUUUAAGUUUGACGAAGAAUAAAUUCUACGACAAGCAAUUCAUUUAUUUUCAAACCGACCCAUUGACUAUCUAUUAUUUGAUUGACUAAUCCUUUAUAUUGGAAUGCGCGAAGAGUCAAAUGCUUUGGCAAUUCCUCAUGGUGGGAUGAAUCAAGAUAAUUUUGAACCAGAGAUCUAGAUUUUGGGUCAUCCCUUACUGUAAUAAUAUCUCGGGGUUUGCAACGAUAACUUGGUAUAUCGACUAUACGACCAUUAACUAAAAUAUGUCGAUGGUUAACCAAUUGGCGGGCUUGAGGAAUAGUUGAAGCCAUACCCAAUCGAAAAAGAAUGUUAUCCAAACGCAUUUCAAGUAAUUGUAGUAAAACCAGACCGGUUGACCCUUUGGCUUUUCUGGCGAUACGAACAUAUUUAAGUAAUUGUCGUUCUGUAAGACCAUAAUGAAAACGCAAUUUUGUUUUUCUUCUAAACGAAUUCGAUAUUGAGAUUUUUUUACGGAGCGCAAUUGGUUCUAAAAUCGCUUCCGGCUCUAGGCCUUUUACUCGUUAGUCCCGGCAAAGCCCCCAGACGGCGUAUUUUUUGAAACGAGGCCCUCGGUAACGUGACAUAAAGACUCCUUAUUUUAUUGAAUUUCAUAAACCUAAAUUAAAACUGAGCUACAUGAUAAAUGAAGCAAAAAUCCGCUGAAGUAUUGUACUACAAAGAAUACUAAGAUGAUUUGUAUCAAAUUCCAGACCCCUUUUUGUAUUGUAUACGCAUAUAGAAAUAUAAAUCAAAAGAGGGUUCCUUUUCUUGAUUUAUUCUGCCGAAAUCGAACUUCCUCCAACUUUUAUUCAUAAUUGGAAGCUCCUACAACAUACUGGAUCGAUGAUCCUUGGAAGAAGCCUUUUCAAUGUUCUUUUCUUUCAAAAAGACAUUAUCAAUCAUGUAAAAAAUCAAACAAAUAGAGAAAAGCCGGCUAUCGGAAUCGAAACCGAUGACCAUCGCAUUACAAAUGCGAUGCUCUAACCUCUGAGCUAAGCGGGCUUAAAUAAGAGAAAUUGUACAUGCGUAGGGAUCCUAGGAUCUUAUCUAUUAACCUUUUAUUCUUAGCUAUUCAUAAAGAAUAAAAUAGAGAAUCGAAUUUCAAAUAAAUGUUGAAUACUAUAGAUAUAGAACAUAACGAUUAAUCUAACAAUUACGAGAAUCUAGUGAUGAUAUAUAUUAGCGAAUUUGGAUUUUUUUAUCAAUUCUAUAUUGAUCAACAAUAAAUAUCUUACUCUUAAUUAGAUAAUAAAAUACGAUUUGAUUUAUUUAUUAUUUUUUUUUUUUUUUCAUUUUUGAAUUCAAGACAUUUAAAAUUAUUUUUUUGUUUCUAACCUAAGAUUCUUAAUAUAUUCUAUUCGAUUAUUCUAUAUUAUAGAAUAUACAUAAUAUUCGAUUAUUAUUCUAUAUUCUAUAUAUAUUUAGUUAUUCUAAAUCGAAUAUUAUAUUCGAUUCUUAUUAUCCAUUUUCGAAAUUCUAAAUUUGCUCUAUUCUAAUUCGAAAUAAUUAGGCUUUAGACUAAAUAAUUAGAAUUAUCUUCGAAUUCUAAUUUAAUUGACUGAGUAGUUAUAGCUAUCUAUUGAUUAGGUCUAGCUAUUAAUCUAAAGAUAAUAAAAAAUAUUUAUUUUAUUAAUAAAUUGAAAAUUGGAAUUUGAGUUAUUUUGGUUAUGUUAUAUAGGUUCUUCCUUAAGGAAAGGGCAAGUAUAAAUAGAAAAUGAAAUGAAGAGAAAGAUACAAUCCCGCUAAAUGGAAUCUGGAUUAGAAUGAGACAUUUUGUUUUCAUUCGAAAAGGGCGUAAGAAAAAACGAAAAAAUAAAUCGACCGUUCGAGUAUUCCGCCGGAUUGCACGAAAAAAAUGAGAGUAAGGGGGGCAUAUAUAUUUUUAUGGUAGUUAUAUCCAUCUAUAUUGAAUUGCGGAUACAGAAAAAGAUAGAAUCAUUCUGACAAGAAAGCAAAACACCUUUCGAUAAAUAUAUAAAUCCAUAUCUACGGAAUUCUACUGUUUCCGCAGAAAUGAAAGAAAGGGGAACAGCAUUGAGUUCCUAAAAACACAAAGGGGAUAUGGCGAAAUUGGUAGACGCUACGAGACUUAAUUGGAUUGAGCCUUAGUAUGGAAAACUUACUAAGUGAUAACUUUCAAAUUCAGAGAAACCCAGGAAUAAAAAAUGGGUAAUCCUGAGCCAAAUCCUCUUCUCUUUCCAAGAACAAACAGGGGUUCAGAAAGCGAAAAAGGGGAUAGGUGCAGAGACUCAAUGAAAGCUGUUCUAACAAAUGGAGUUGACUGCCCUUUUUGUGUAAAGAAAAAAGAAAGUCAAAUGAAUGCUUCUAUCGAAUAUCGAAACUCGAUAAAGGAUGAAGGAUAAGGGUAUAUAGACUAUGUAUACGCAGCGAAAAACUAACUCAAAAAUCACAACCAAAUACGUAUUUCUUUUUAUGAAAAAGAAAAGAAUUGUUAUUGUUAUGAAUCGAUUCUAAGUUGAAGAAAGAAUCGAAUAUUCCCCGCUCAAAUCAUUCACUCCACCUCCAUGGUCUGAUCGAUCCUUUCUUUUGACUUUGAAGAACUGAUUAAUCGGACGAGAAUAAAGAUAGAGUCCCAUUCUACAUGUCAAUAUCAAUACGGGCAACAAUGAAAUUUAGAGUAAAAGGAAAAUCCGUCGACUUUAGAAAUCGUGAGGGUCAAGUCCCUCUAUCCCCACCCCAAAAAAGGCCUAUUGACUCCCUAACCAUUUCUCCUACCUUCUCCUUUUUUUGUUAGUGGUUCAAAAGUCGGUAGGUUUCUCAUCUAUCCUACUCUUUCCAUUCCAAAAGGAUAUGGGCAGAAUUUUUUUCUCUUAUCACAAGCCGUAUGGUCUAAUACGAUAUAUGUAGAAAUGAACACCUUGAGCAAGGAAUCCCGUUUUAAUGAUUCCCAAUCCAUAUUAUUGCUCAUACUGAAACUUACAAAGUCUUCUUUUGAUGAUUCAAGAAAUGAAAUUCCCCUCCCAAGACUUUUAAUCCUGUUUAUUUUUUAAUGACAUAGACCCAAGUCAUCUAGUAAGAUGAGAACGGUGUGUCGGAAAUGGUCGGGAUAGCUCAGCUGGUAGAGCAGAGGACUGAAAAUCCUCGUGUCACCAGUUCAAAUCUGGUUCCUGGCAUAUGAUUAAUAUCUAUGAGUAUCUAUCACUACAAAUUCAGUGAUAUGGCUCGCCAUACAUAUUCCAUUUAUAGAUCAUGAUACAUACAUACUUAUCCAUCUAGCUCGAUGUCUGGGAAUAGGCCUUUUUUCUUUUAUUUUUUUUUUAUUUUAUUUCUUCCUUCCCCUCUCUGUGACCCGCUAGAGCCCGUCGAAGUGGUGUGCGCGAUACAAAGUUCAUGAUACAGAACUCUUUAAUUUCUUUAUCCCAUUCACAAUAAUAAUACGAAUGAGACUUCAAUUCCUCCGUUUGAUCUAGAGAAAGAAACGUACAAAUAUUUCUUGAAUAUUGGGUCAAAAUGAAGAUUAAUUUCUUAGAAUUCAAUAAGCAUCUUGUAUUUCAUAAAAAUUGGGGGCAAUAUAAUCCUUACGUAAAGGGCCACCCUAUCCAACUUUCAGGCAUUAAGAUACGUUUCAGUCGUGGAUGAUUAAUCAUAAAGGAUUCCCAGCAUAUCAUAAGAUUCCCGUUCUUGAAAAUUCGCACUUUUCCAAACCCAGAAAACCGAUGGAAUUUUAGGAUUACUCCUUGGAGCAAAUACUUUUAUGCAUACCUCUUCUGGUUGAUCUACACCAUACUCUAUUCGCGUAAGAAUGAUACACACUGGCUAACAGUCCCGCCCGGUGCUACAUCAUAGGCACAUUGGGACCGUAGAUAAUUGUAAGCCAUAUAUAUACAAAAUGACAGCAACGGAGUGCCAAUCCUCGGGCUUUAUUUGUAAAGUUUCUAUUCCUUGGUAAUCAAAGCCCAAAGAUCUAUGAACUAGCCCAUGCUUGACCAGCCAAGCAGACAAACGACCCUGCAUCUUUUUUAUCUCUCCCACAUUUUGAUUUCGAUAAAUAUUUCACAUUUACGAUGAAUUUUUGGAAUUUAUGAAGAUUAAUUCGCUCUUUCUUAUUCUGUACAAAUGAAUCCUCCUGCCUAAUUAAUGAAUUCGGGGGAAGAUACUGAACUUUUGUAUUUGAAAAAGGUUUCAGGCGGGAUUUCUGACGUAGAUGGUGGUUGAUAAAGUAAUCCUUGAUCAUAAUUUCCAGUAUUAGUACUGCAUACAACACGAAACUUGUGAUUGGUAGUAAAAGUAAACGAGCGAUUCUCCCGUUGCAAUCGAAUUCGAUCUUCAUAGAUUUCUCGAGAUAUUUUCUUACGAAGUUUUUGUUAUGGCAUCUAUAACGGCCUCUGGUUUAGGCGGGCAACCCGGCAAAUAAACAUCCACGGGAAUUAGCUUAUCAACUCCUCGAACAGUACUAUACGAAUCGGUACUGAACAUCCCCCUGUAAUUGUACAUGCUCCCAUACAAUAACAUAUUUUGGUUCAGGCAUUUGUUCAUAUAAUCUCACUAAAGAAGGAGCCAUUUUCAUUGUUACUGUACCAGCUGUUAAAAUUAGGUCCGCCUGUCUAGGGCUCGAUCUUGGUACCAGCCCAUAACGGUCAAAAUCGAACCGCGAGCCGAUUAAUGAAGCAAAUUCAAUGAAACAACAACUGGUACCAUAAAGAAGCGGCCAUAAGCUGGAGAGUCUUGACCAAUUUGAAAGAUCGUUUGAUGUAGUUGAAAUAAAUGAAUUGGGUUGUCGAUCAAGUAAGGAAAAUUCAAUAGAAUUCAUAAUUCUCUCAAUGUUAUUUUUUGUUUUUUUUUUUUUUUUUACUUUUUUGUUAUUGUCUGAAUAUUCAGAAACUAAGACCACUCUAAUGCUCCUUUUCGCCACGCAUAAACUAAACCAACAAUUAGGAUAAGCAUGAAAAUGAAAGCUUCUAUAAAUACGGGUACCCCCAAUACAUCAAAACUCAUUGCCCAUGGAUAAAGAAAAAACGGUUUCAACACAUCAAAAACAACAAAAACUAGAGCAAACAUAUAAUACCGGAUUCGAAAUUGUAACCAAGCAUCGCCCAUUGGUUCGAUACCCGAUUCAUAACUAGAAAGUUCUCUGGCCCUUUGUUAAUCGGGGCUAAAACUGCGGAAAUUAGAAAUGCCAAAAUAGGAAUAACGCUUGAUAUUAUUAGAAAUGCCCAGAAAAUAUCAUAUUUGUAAAGCAGAAACAUAGCCAAACUCCUAUGAAUGUGGAAAAUAGACCAAAUUUGUCGAUGCAAAUUGGAAUUCAUUGUCAAGUCAUCGAUAAUUGGUUAAUCAAAACAACAAUUCAUUUUGAUCGAACCGCAAAGUUUCGUUUGUUUGUUGUGAUGUCUCGUUUUAAGAUUUAUCGAUUGGAAUCCUAUUUCAUUACACUUCCUUCGAUUUUAUUUCAAUAUAGUAUAAAUCUCUUAUACAAACAAAACAAACAAAACCCUUUUGCGUUCACCGCGCUUCGGACUUGUCUAAAUCAAAGGAAGUCAAAAGAAAAUUCGAAUUUUUGUUUCGAAUUUCGAAUUCGAAUCUUCGAAAUUCAAUCGAUUUUGAUUCUAUUCUCAAUAUAUAGAAUAUUUUCUGUUUCUGAAUUAUGUUUAUGAAAAGCUAUUCGUUUUUCAAACGCUGAGGUGUCAACAAAUACCGUAAUCCGUUCCUAUAUCCAUGCGAACUUACUAUUCCAUUUGAGUUGGGUUACGUCGGCGUCUCCCCGGAUUCGUGUCAUGAUUUUGACUCCGCAAAUUCACCAAAAGUAGGUGAGUAUACCAAAGAAAGGAAGUAUCAAUAACUCUUUGAUUGUGAUGGGAACAGGAAAAGAGGCAAAUCCAUAUGGAAUUCCCAUACGAAGAUUAUUAUUAUUAAUUAUUGAAGAAAGAAAAAUGGGUUUGUUUAGCCGAAUCCGAGAUUCUAAAAAAAAAAAUAGCGAUUAAAUCCAUUGAAAUGCGCUUUAGUUUUCAUUUCAGUUUGAUGUUCUGCUCGGAACGAGCUCCCUCCGAGCGAGCUUUUGGGAAUGAUUUGAUUUCGAUGAACCACAAGCAACCCCCAGCGACCAGUUACAAACAACAAAAAUACAAUAUGAAUGAGAAAUGAAAACUAUACAAUUUUGUGUUUCUGUAUUUCCAUUUUGAUUAUUAUUAUUUGAGAUUAGUAUAGGGCUAUAACGGACUCGAACCGUAGACCUUCUCGGUAAAACAGAUCGAACUAAUUCUUAUCAAAAUGAUUCGAACUCUUUCAAAGACCCAACAUGCAUUUUUUUUUUUUUGCAUUGGGCUCUUUCAUUAACUGAUAGAAAUAUCAGUUAGUCUACCAUAUUUUUUUCUUGACAGACAACUAAGGAAAUGGCUCCAUGUGCUCUAAUUCAUUAUUUGGAUUCGGAUAUAGGAGCACUCCCAAAGUGUUUCAAAGAAGGGUUAUCUUGACGUAGGUCUGCUUAUGGCCUAGAUCAACCUAAACGAAAUGGAGUCUCUAUCAUCCUGAUUAAAGAAUCACAUAUGAAACUUCAUACGCCUUAAGGUUUCAUAGAACGAAAAGAGAAUUUUUGAGGUCCUUAUACUCAUUAUGCCUAGCAUUGAAUAGACUAGGUAUUUACCUUAUCAAUCUCUCAAAUCGAUGAUGGAUUCUAUUUGGUUCCUAAAAGGCACCCGAAUCGGACCGAUCCAUUGUCAGGCUAUUGUUCUCUUGUUUGUUCCCUACAAGCCACGGAGUCAGACAUUAAUUUCUCAAAAAAGAUCAAUUCUUUUGAUUGCAUGAUGGACUCCUCUGAAAAACAUUGGCGCACGUGUAAACGAGGUGCUCUACCUAACUGAGCUAUAGCCCUUGUCCUUGUGAUACAUAUUUUAUCAUAUUAUGUAGAUAAUUUCUUGUCAAGAUGAAUAUUCCAUGAUCCCACACCAUAUCUCUUUGAUCUUUUGGAUUGGUAUUGCUUAGAAGUCCUAUUAGAUUUAUACUCCAUCGAUGGGAUGUGAUGGGUCUCUUUUUGUUUUUUGUUAUAAUGAUAAAUGACCUACUUAACUCAGUGGUUAGAGUAUUGCUUUCAUACGGCGGGAGUCAUUGGUUCAAAUCCAAUAGUAGGUAGAAAUUAUUAGAUACCACGGCCAAUGGUAUCUAAUAAGUUUUUUCUACUCACCUUUGUUUAUUGAUUUUGUAUCUUUCUAUCCGAUUCAAUUUGAUUUUCGAAUUGAAACCUUUUCCUUCCGUCAGAAUCCAAUUCCACUUGAUUGAAUUUAAUUGGAUUCAAUUGGCAGAAUCAAAAUAGGGGUAUAAACAGAAAUUCGUUGGAUUAUUCUAUUCGGGCGCACCAACUAGUUAUGAAAUCGCAUUGAUAACCUCUACUCGUGUCCUAGCUCGUCUGAGAGCUAGAUUUGCCUCAAUUGUUUGUCUCUUGCUUUCAGCUUCCUCAAAUUAGCUUCUGCUAUUUCAAGAGUUUGCUGGGCUUCUUGGGGAUCAAUGUCACUACUCUUCUCCGCAUCAUUUACUAAAAUAGUGAUCUCAUUAUUCCCUAUUCUAGCAAAACCACCCAUCAGAGCCAUCGUUAACCAUUGGUCGUUAAAGCGGAUUCUUAAAAUACCUAUAUCUACAGCUGUGGCAAUAGGCGCGUGAUUUGGUAAUACGCCGAUUUGUCCACUAUUAGUAGAUAAAAUGAUUUCUUUCACUUCUGAAUCCCAAACAAUUCGAUUAGGGGUCAGUACACAAAGAUUUAAGGUCAUUUCUUCAAAUUACUCUCCAUUUCUAAGUUUGUAGCCUUCGCAGUAACUUCAUCUAUGUUACCUACCAAAUAAAAGGCCUGCUCAGGAAGACCAUCUAAUUCUCCGGACAGGAUCAAUUUAAACCCUCUAAUAGUUUCGGCUAGACCAACAUAUUUCCCCGGGGAACCGGUAAAUACUUCGGCUACGAAAAAGGGUUGUGAUAAGAAACGCUCAAUUUUCGCGCCCUUGCUACAGUUAAAACGAUCCUCUUCGGACAGUUCGUCCAACCCAAGGAUAGCUAAUAAUGUCCUGAAGUUCUUUGUAACGUUGUAAAGUUUGCUUAACUCUUUGCGCCGUUUCAUAAUGUUCCUCGCCAACGAUCCGAGGUUGCAGCAUAGUUGACGUUGAGUCUAAAGGAUCAACUGCUGAUAGAUACCUUUAGCAGCUAAUCCUCUUGAUAGUACGGUAGUAGCAUCUAAAUGGGCAAAUGUCGUGGCAGGAGCGGGAUCAGUCAAAUCAUCCGCGGGUACAUAAACUGCUUGAAUAGAAGUUAUGGACCCCUCUUUGGUAGAAGUAAUUCUUUCUUGUAAAGAACCCAUUUCGGUACUAAGGGUAGGUUGAUAACCCACAGCGGAAGGCAUUCUACCCAAUAAGGCGGAUACCUCGGAUCCCGCUUGGACGAAACGGAAGAUAUUGUCGAUAAAUAGAAGUACGUCUUGUUCAUUAACAUCUCGGAAAUAUUCCGCCAUAGUUAGGGCCGUCAAACCAACUCUCAUACGAGCUCCUGGUGGUUCAUUCAUCUGACCGUAGACUAGAGCCACUUUGAUUCCGAAAGAUUUUGGUCAUUAAUUACUCCAGACUCUUUCAUUUCCAUGUAAAGAUCAUUUCCUUCACGAGUACGUCACCGACUCCGCCAAAUACGGAUACACCCCCAUGGCUUGGCAAUGUGUUGAUCAAUUCCAUAAUGAGUACUGUUUUACCCACCCCAGCUCCCCCAAAUAGUCCGAUUUUUCCUCCCCGACGAUAAGGAGCUAAAAGAUCUACUACUUUAAUUCCUGUUCAAAAAUAGAUAAUCUUGUAUCUAACUGUAUAAAAGCAGGCGCGGAUUUAUGAAUAGGGAUGUUGUGCGAGUAUCUACAGGACCUAAAUUAUCAACGGGCUCUCCAAGCACGUUGAAAAUUCGUCCUAGAAGUCACUCCGCCGACUGGAACACUUAGAGGAGCUCCCGUGUCAAUUACUUCCAUACCCCUCGUUAGACCAUCUGUAGCACUCAUGGCUACAGCUCUAACUCGAUUAUUCCCUAAUAAUUGCUGUACCUCGCAAGUCACAUAAUUGGUUGAUCGACAGUAUCUCGACCCUUAACUACCAGAGCAUUGUAAAUAUUAGGCAUCUUGCCGGGGGAAAGGCUACAUCCAGUACCGGACCAAUGAUUUGAGCGAUAUGUCCUAGGUUUUUGUUUGCAAACGCGGAAACCCCAGGACCGGAAGUAGUAGGAUUUAUUCUCAUAAUAAUAAAGUGAAAGAUGUCAAUUUUUUUUUUUUCGAACUUGAUCGCAUCCAAAAAAAUCUUCGAUAGCACGUGGAUCGGUUAAUUCAAUAAGAAAUGGGAGUUCGCGCUCGAUUUCGUUGGUACCGUCCAACCGAAUGCAAUUCAAUAGUUUCCUUAUGCUUAUGCAUUUAUGCAAUUUCAAUGAGGGAAUUUUCAAGUUCAACCAACCGACUUUCAAAAUAUCAAGUGGGUGAAUAAAAAUCUUGAGAAAGUCGUUCAUUAUAUCUAUCAUUAUAGACAAUACCCGCCAUAUUAUCUAUGGAGUUCGAACCUGAACUCUCUUUUCGAUUCAUUAUUUCUAUCUCAUUGGACCUUAUUUCUUAUUUUAGCAUAUCGACUUAUGCCUAGUCUAUUCUUUUUUUGGAUAUAUAUACCCUGCUUUUUGAUAUAUAUACCCUGCCUUUCUUUACUGGAUGAAUUACGCAUAUUUUCUUUGCACAUAUAGGAUUUACGUAUACAACACAUAUUACUGUCAAGAGUCAAUUUCUUAUGAUUUAGAAAUUUCGAUUGAAAAAAGGUAAGGGAUUAGAAACUUGAAAGGCGCCGAUUGGGUUGCGCCAUACAUAUGAAAGAGUAUACAAUAAUGAUGUAUUUGGUGAAUCAAAUACCAUGGUCUAAAAAAAACAAGGAAACGCUCUGAGUAGGUGAUAAUAUUAAUUGAAAAGCUUGUGAAAGAUUCCUGUGAAGGGGUUUCAUUAACUCCUAAUUUAUGUCGAGUAGACCUUGUUCUUGCGAGAAUUCUUAAUUCAUGAGUUGUAGGAGGGACUUAUGUCACCACAAACAGAGACUAAAGCGAGUGUUGGAUCAAGGCCGGUGUUAAAGAUUAUAAAUUGACUUAUUAUACUCCUGACUAUGUAACCAAAGAUACUGAUAUCUUGCAGCAUUCCGAGUAACUCCUCAGCCCGGAGUUCCACCCGAGGAAGCGGGGGCUGCGGUAGCUGCGGAAUCUCUACUGGUACCUGGACAGCUGUGUGGACCGAUGGGCUUACCAGCCUUGAUCGUUACAAAGGGCGAUGCUACAACAUUGAGCCCCGUUGCUGGAGAAGAGAAUCAACUAUAUAUGUUAUGUAGCUUACCCGUUAGACCUUUUUUGAAGAAGGUUCUGUUACUAACAUGUUUACUUCCAUUGUGGGUAAUGUAUUUGGUUUCAAAAGCACUGCGCGCUCUACGUCUAGAGGAUCUACGAAUCCCUCCUGCGUAUACUAAAACUUUCCAAGGCCCGCCUCACGGCAUCCAAGUUGAGAGAGAUAAAUUGAACAAGUAUGGCCGUCCCCUGUUGGGAUGUACUAUUAAACCUAAACUGGGGUUAUCCGCGAAGAAUUAUGGUAGGGCGGUUUAUGAAUGUCUACGUGGUGGACUUGACUUUACCAAAGAUGAUGAGAACGUGAACUCCCAACCAUUUAUGCGUUGGAGGGACCGUUUCUUAUUUUGUGCGGAAGCUCUUUAUAAAGCGCAAGCUGAAACAGGUGAAAUCAAAGGUCAUUACUUGAAUGCUACUGCAGGGACAUGCGAAGAAAUGCUAAAAAGGGCUGUCUUUGCCAGAGAGUUGGGAGUUCCUAUCGUAAUGCAUGACUACUUAACAGGGGGAUUCACCGCAAAUACUACCUUGGCUCAUUAUUGCCGAGAUAAUGGUCUACUUCUUCACAUCCACCGUGCAAUGCAUGCAGUUAUUGAUAGACAGAAGAAUCAUGGUAUGCACUUUCGUGUACUAGCUAAAGCUUUGCGUCUGUCUGGUGGAGAUCAUAUUCACGCCGGUACAGUAGUAGGUAAACUUGAGGGGGAAAGAGACAUAACCUUGGGAUUUGUUGAUUUACUACGUGAUGAUUUUGUUGAAAAAGAUCGAAGCCGCGGUAUUUAUUUCACUCAAGAUUGGGUCUCUAUACCAGGUGUUAUACCUGUGGCUUCCGGGGUAUUCACGUUUGGCAUAUGCCUGCGUUGACAGAGAUCUUUGGAGAUGAUUCCGUAUUNNNNNUUAAUUAAUUAANNNNNAUUUAGGGAAUGUCAUGUCCCAACAAUUACCACCACCAUUAUAAAAACUUUAUAAGUAUUACUUAUCACUUCCCAAUAAUAUUUACUUUUCAGUAGCAAUUGAUCAUGUGGGCCAAAUUAAAUAUAUUGGCCCUAAAAUUCAGAAUCUAUUUAUAUCCAACAUUAACACCAGCCUUGGCACUCUCAACUGAGCAAAACCUAAAGCCUCUUCUUAAUCAAUCUUUUCAAAAAUUUCAUCGAAACCAUUCUAGAUACCCCUAGGAUAUUGAACGCAUGGUCAAAGGUGUUUUGAUACAUGUGGUUCAGGCAAGACCACAAAUGUAGAACAUUAAGUAAUAAUAUGCAUGCAUAUAUGUACAUUCUAUAGAUAAAAUAAGACCAAGCACUUGCAUAGACUUUAACAAUAUUGUCAAUGUAUAGAAUUGGGCUCCUCAACAAAAUGUAUCUAGAUUUAAGAGAAAUAAAAUCCAUAGUUAAAUUUUAAAAAUAUAUAUAUAGCUUCAAGAAAUUUAAAAUGAAAAUCAAUAAAAAUUAACUAUUAAAACCAGUAAAUUAGUUAACAUAGCAAUCUAAUAUCUAAUUCAUGAAAUAGAAAUAAAAACAUGAAAAAUACAGCAACGACUUACCAAAGAGUGUGAAGCUUCAAUUGAAAGUGAGGAUAGGGUUUUAAUUAGUGUUGGCAACAUUCCCGCACUAAUUUUGUAUAUUAUUUCAUUAUGUAAUUGGAUAUAUUUGUUAAGCAUAUUAAUAGUUGUCUCAAUUCAUGGUUAGAAAUUUCCUUUGCAUUAAUUUUUUGGAUUUGUAACAAGAGUUUUCACUAUGUUUCUCUCUUGGUUGUUAUAUUUCACUGCUCUUAGAUUCCUUUUAAGCCAUUACUGGUGCAAGAGUUAUUUAAAUAUAAAUUUUGUUAUAAAAAAAUUCAAAGAACUUAUGAAUACAAAGAAAAGGUUGGAUAUACGAGGGUUUCUUUUGAAUAUUUUCAUGGGACACCCUGAGGUUUCAUUGUUUCAUGUUUUCUAGCAAAUUUCAACAGUUUUUACAUUUAAGUCCAGAAGAAUGUAAUAUGUUUCUGGAGGUGGUGCGAAGAAAUUAUGUGAGUUAGGAUUUUGGGUUUAUAUCCCAAUGGCACCCUAUAGUUUCACAGUUUACGAUUUAGCUAAAGUAUCUAGGUUUUGGGAAAAAAAGUUCAAAUUUAUUUAUAUUGGAUCCAAGUCUAGUUUUCGUUAUCAAUUGAAUAAUAUGAAUUAAUUACUCCAAAUUUAUUUAUAUUACUCACAAGCCUAUUUUUGAGAUUUCAAAAUUGGGUCAUCUAAAUGAAAGAUUUUGUAAGAUCAAUAAUAAAAUUUAUUUGUCUUAAGAUUUUUUAAAAAUAAAUUUUGGCUUAUUUUAUUAAAUUAAUUGGGUCUUGAUAUUAUAAAAAAUUUAUUUUAAAAAUAAGAUGCAAUGGAAUUUUAAUUAAAAGGUGCGCAAAUUUGGUCUUAAAAAAUUGAAUCAAGGAUAAAUUAAAAAAGCCAAAGUGGACUUGAACAAGACCAUGUACAAGGAAGAGAAAGAAGUUGGACAUUGACUUGAAGCCCACAAGAUAAUAGGCUUGUAGAUUAAGUCAAUUUUUUCUUAGGAAAACCAUAAAUUGAUAUUGUUUAAUUGCUUUUAGUCUAUAUGAUAUGUUUGGAUGAUAACAUCUCAUGACAACAUGUCAUAUAGAAUAGUAGUGCCACUCUAUGCAUCAUAAUAUAUGACAUCUAUAGAUUAUGAAUCUAAAUAUAUAUAUUGUUGAUAUUAUUGUUUGUAUUUACAUGUGCUAAGAAUAUAAGAUUUCAUCUAGAUAAUAUUAUUUUAGGAAGCAUGCAAUUAACAAUAUUGGAUAUAAUCUGUUUAUUGUCCAAAAAAAAACCAACUUUAAAUAUUGAGUUUGAGAGGGAAAAUUCAAGAUAAUUUUUCCCGUGGGCUCCAUUGUGAUGCACUCAAAAAGCACAUAACUUAAAACCUUGCCUUAAAAAUUAUCUUUUUUUUUUAUAGUAUAGAGGUGUAAGCAAGGGUCAUUCCCACAGAGGAUUGUGGCCAACAACAAAGAUUAAAUUAAAAACCCUAUCUUCACUUAAAGAAAUUGACUCAAAAUUUCCAGAUAAAUAAGUACAAACUAAUGAAGUCACAAAUAAAUUUGGGGGGAUUUGGAGUUGAUUUACUAUGAAUAAGGCACAAAAUCUGAAUUUUAUAGAAAGCAGCUUCAAGAGAAUUUAAAUUUGAUAAGAAAUAUGGUUAAGGAAUCAUUCUCCACCACUAAACAUUAGACUUAGUCAAUCAUCAGAAUUAUAAUUCACUUUCUUUUAAAAACAACAACCCUAAAUAAUUACAAGCUCAAUUAUCUUGAUCUUUUUUAAUAUCCAUCAAAUAACCUAGAACAAGCUCUCUAGAUUUAAUUUAAUGAAAGCAUUAGAAUCAAGAAAGAUAUAGGCUGAAUCAAGAGACAAACACUGAUGAGAACCAUCAAGGGAAUACCAUUAAAACUUCAAGUGAUCCUUUGCACAUUCAUGGAGGCCCAAUUACAAGAGCAAGAGCCAAAAAGAUGCAAGCUGCUUUAAAUGGAUUAAUUGAGAAAAUAUGGAUUGAAAAUGCAAUUCAAGAUGCAAGACAUCAUGAAUUGGGCUUGAAGAGAAGACAAGGCAUUGUGGGCAUUAUUCAAGUUAUUGGGCAGCCAAAUACACAAUUUGUAUCAAAUGUAGAAAGGUCAAAUUUGGAAUAAAAACUGUAUUGAUUGAGCUAGAAGUAAUGUGCAAGCUAUAUACCGUUGGAAAGAUAAUUAAGCUAGCUUUCCAAUAAAUUUUACAGAGCUGGAUUUGGAGUUCUCUAGAAGGAGUUAUGACCAAUUCAUUACAUCUUGUUCAGACUUGGGAUUUUCAACGACUCCUUUGUUUUUCAACUUCAUUUGUUUGUUUUGUUUCAAGUUUGUCAAUGUGUAAAGUAAGUCUACCAUCAAUGAUGGUGGGCUAACAUUAAGUUUGUCAAUGAUAGCAUUAAUUAUAGUAGGCUAGCAUUAAGUUUGUCAAAGAUCGCAUUAAUUAUGGUGGGUUGGUGAAGACUUUUGAAACAUCCUUUGACAAACCUACUUGGAGGGUUGUUCCAAUGUUUCCAUUUGUAUUUUUAGGAUCUUGGGUUUCUUUUAGCCUAUUUAAAUUCAACAACCUUGCUAUGUAUAAUAUUAGAGAUUAAUGUUAUUUGAAUUUGAAAGAUUAUUCUUUCUUUGGUUCUUUUGAGAACUAGUGAACUUAAUCAAGAAUUUGCAUUCUUGUGGCGUUCUAAAUUUAGACUUAUCACUCACCUUCUCAUCUAUUUCUUGAGUGUGGUGUCAAUAUCAUUCUCUAUACCUUUAGUUCAUGUUUUCUUAAGCAUUGGGUCAAGGUUUUGUUUGUCAUAAAUCUGUUUAGAACUUUCUUAAGAAGUUGAAACUACAAAUUAAGUGUGGGUUUCAAAGUUUCAUUGUGGGAUUCACAUCAUUGGUAUCAGAGCUAGUUUCUAAUCAAGUUUGAAUGUCUUAUUUAUUUGAUUAUCAAAAAAAAAAAAAGAGAAAAACGUACAAAAAAAAAAGAUUACAAAAGGAUUCAAGUAUUUCUACUUUCAUCAAAAUUGAUUUUUAGUUAUUCAUUUUUCCUUGGCAUAGUUUUCACACAUAUCAAUUGUGUUGCCUUGCUUGCUUGCUUUCCUUUUCACUCUUAAUUUCUUUCUUUGUUAGUGUGUUGGAUUGUCAUAUUUUGGUGUGCCACUUGGGUUUUUUUUUUCUUGAUUUUGUUUUAUUUAGUUCAAUAAAGAACUGAAAGAGAGAAUUAAGUGUGGUAAAAGGCAAAAGUUUGUGAGAUCACAAAUAUGUCAAAAGAUCAAGAAGCUAUAGACCGAUCAAUCAUCCUCAAAGCCAUGCAACAACAAUUUGAGCACAUGAAUCUGAUGUUUGGAGAGAUCCGUGACAAAUUGGGGAGGCAAGACACUGCCAUAGCCAAUCUACAAAGGGGGCCAAUAGCUCCUAAUGUAAGAGGUAAUCAAGGGCGUGCUGUUCAUGGGAGAAGAAGAUGGUGAUGACAUAGAUGAUUUUGAUGACCAGGCGACUGUUGACAUGCGUGGAAGAGAUAAUAGAAGGCAAGACGUAUAGAUCAUGAUUUCGGGAGUAUCAAACUGAAAAUUCCUUCUUUUCAAGGUAAAAAUGAUCUGGAAGCUUAUUUGGAAUGGGAAAAAAAGGUGGAGCUAGUAUUUGAUUGCCACAACUACUCUGAGGAGAAAAAGGUAAAACUAGUUGCUGUUGAAUUUAUUGAUUAUGCUAUCAACUUCCUCCAACAAUGCUUCUACGUCUUCUAUCAUAACUCCAGUUUCCCUUUCCUCCACCCUCUCCUUACCCAAAUCUUGCUCCAAACACACUGCUAGUAAGAUCGAAAAUUUAGUUGAAUAUUCUUGUAUCCCUGAAUCUGCUCAGAUCACUGAAUCUUCUUUUCCUCUUCUUAGUCCUUAUCACCUCUAUAAACGAUCACACUCCUUUACUCGCAGUAUUCGAACCCUUAUUUCCACCAAAAGACCACAUCCAAAAAGAAUACAUCCAGUCAUCCAGAUUGGAUCAGUGUUCCCUUCAGGCUACCACAGCUGAACAAUAUGUCACUUUGGAAAUUCCCCCCAGACUUGAUUUCCAAUUGGCAAAGAGAAAGUUAUACUCAUCUCCAUAUCGGAGGAGUCCGACUAAUCCUAACCUUACAUGGAAGGAAAGGAUACCAGUCAUGCCCAGAAUUGCUAUGCUGGACACUAGGUUCACACAUUACCAAGAUGUUGUUAUUGGUAACUUGUCUUAACCACUCUUCAAUGCUGGAAGUGUUUUUACUCACUUUCUAUCCUAAUUUCAACCUUUCUCUUCAAGACACUAAUCUCUCCAUAGCCUUGCAAGUCCAAGUGCAAAAUCAAGGUGCAGACCAAGUCUCUUCUGCAAAAAUUGCCACUCUUCACCAUCAAUUGGUCUAUAGGCUCCAGAACCAUGCCUUAGAUCUUCCUUCGCUUGAGCACCACUCUGACGCCCUCAUGGUGUUAGCAGAAUCAGGCCAAAUCCCAACCAUCAUUCAAAUUCCAAGACAGAUCCUCAACAUGAACUCAUAAAACUCAUGCCUUGGAAUGGAUUUCAAAUUAUGAGAAGUUCCACGCCAAUUACUUCUCCUAUCCAGACCACAUAAAGUAUGUUUGAAAAGAAGAUCUGAUAGAACUGUCCGAAUGACUUUUCGGCCUCCACCAAUAGCACUAGAGGAGCCUCCACGACUCUCAUUCACUUAUUCAGCCAUGGUAACGGCUGUCCAGACCGCUCAAGAAAAGUUGCCAAUUACAGGAUUCACUUUAAAAGGAUAUCUUGUCUAUCCUGCCAAACUUAAUGGCCAACUUUCUUUGGGAUUCACUAGGAUCAGGAAAUUGUGACCCAGAUUGUCCCUGUUGGGAUGAUUGGGAAGAAGAUGAUGUUGGCUUUACAGCCGGAAAAGGAAACCAAAAAAGAAAAUACCUAAAACUCCGUGCUCACACAACCAACCUAAACCACCUCAUAAUCCUCCACCACCACCAGCUCCAUUACCCAUCUACCAAAAAUAACUGAGAUGGAUUGCCAAAAAUUGCAAAACUGAAAUCCUUCCCAUCCUCAGCCGUCCACAUUACCCAUGCAGCCUAUGGCUUUGUAUGAUGUUCUCAUCCACCUCACAAGAUUAUUCCUCCAAUUUCCCUGCCCUCGAAACCCAUACCGAUCUACAAUGAAAGGUCAUCACUAAACCCUUUAUUCCUUCCGCCAUCACUCCUACAGGUCAUUUAGAAGACCCUAAACCUUUCGAAGCCGUUCUCAACUGGCAAACACAAAAUGCCAGAGCUCAAAAUGAAGCCUUAGUUGAUAUCCAUAAGAAGGUUAAUCAUAUUAGUUUUACAAACUGAUCAUAUUGAAUCUAAGAUGGAUUUGAUUACUUCUCAGAUGCAGCAGAUUUACCAGAAUCUUCAGUCCCAAAUCUCCCAACUAGAUUCGAAAUUAAGAACCAUGCUGAGUCAUAGCUACAAUGGUCCAGAAUUUGAUCAAAAGGAAAAGGAAAUCCGAAAGCUGAGAGCAGAACUCGAACAGAUUGAGUUGGACAGGCAAAGGCCAACAUUAUUUACUACCUCUCCACUAUUACCCACUAUUAGCCCCACCUUCCAUCCUUUUGCACCUAUGCUUUCUCCAAUCAAGCCCCAAGACCCAUCCAAAAUUAUUUGGCAUGACCCAUACUUUGUUCAGAAAAACAUCCUCUGCCGAACACAUCUAGAUCUACAUCUCAUCCUCGUCCACGACCCGAUAAACAGCCCUUCCAUCCACCUUUGUCUAUCACAGAACCACAACCAACCUAUAUAUACCCAACUCCCUCCUCAACCAACACCAACUCAGGCCAAAGAUAAAUCACCAAAUGCACCAAUAUAGUGCACAGAUAAUCCCAGACCCAUCUGAUACAGACCAAACUUCUGAUUCAAAUCUCACCGUUCAGUCAAUCAAUCUGAAUCCGACACAGACUCUUCCCUUGAAUCUUCCAUCUCAUCUAGUGAUUCUGAAAAAUCCUAUGCUAAUAUCACUAGGAUUCUUAUGGCCCAACCUGAAGAAACUGAGCCUGCUCAAUCCUCAAGAACUGACCCAUUUUUUGAAAUACCCUCAGAUAUUGAGGAAGAUCCACCCGAAGCAUCCUCCGCUCCAAACCGACCAGCUUAAUCCCACCAUGAUCAUAAACCUUCAAAUGGUCCAUGGUUCACUUUUGAUGAUAUCCCCUGCAGCUAAAUGGAGAGAUAGAUUAUCUGAAAUGGCUGCUUGGACAGAUCUCCAAAUGUUAAGAGCAAAUGCUACUACAACAUCCGUCCUUAGAGAACUUGCUACCCGUUUUUUACAGGCUCUUUAAGAGAUUGGUUUGAUACUUAAGAGAGUACAAACAAUUACAGUUUGUGCAACUACCUAAUGUCUCAUUUGCUCUUUCUGUUACUCACGAGCAAUUCAUUGGAGAAUCAACCGCAGCCUUUUGAAGCUGCAAGACGCGACUACCUCAAUAUGAAGUGCUGCUCCCUCAACUCUAAAGAUCUUGAUUUCCAUUAUAAACAGAUGUCAAAUCCUAUUUUAUAAGCUCAAUGGGUUCAAUGAUCCGACUCUCAAACAUGUCUUUCUAGCAUCAUUACCCGAAGGAUUGCAACCAGACAUACAACGGCAACUCACGAGUCUCAAUCUCACCAUUGAUACCAUUUCCUUAGGAAAGAUCUUUCAGAUCGCCAAAGGAUGUUUGGAAAAACUACCUCAAUAUGAAGUGCAAACUACCUAAUGUCUCAUUUGCUCUUUCUGUUACUCACGAGCAAUUCAUUGGAGAAUCAACCGCCAGCCUUUGAAGCUGCAAGACGCGACUACCUCAAUAUGAAGUGCUGCUCCCUCAACUCUAAAGAUCUUGAUUUCCAUUACAAACAGAUGUCAAUCCUAUUUUAUAAGCUCAAUGGGUUCAAUGAUCCGACUCUCAAACAUGUCUUUCCUAGCAUCAUUACCCGAAGGAUUGCAACCAGACAUACAACGGCAACUCACGAGUCUCAAUCUCACCAUUGAUACCAUUUCCUUAGGAAAGAUCUUUCAGAUCGCCAAAGGAUGUUUUGGAAAAACUAUGUGAACAAAAACAGUUCUUCAAAGAAUUGUUAAAAGACAAAGAGCCUUUCCGAAGUGCAUGUAAAAAGCCUUAUUUGCAGAUCAAAAUGUCAGAAAAAGAAAGAUUGUGAUUGCAGCACCAAAAAGAAGAAGCAUUUAUGAAAAUUCAAAAAUCCAGCAUUGUUUCCCUAGAUCAACAUCCAGGCGAAAAUCAUACCGAUUUUUCAGGAAAAGAUCUAGCUCUUUCAGAGAACAACAAAAGAAGAAGUCAAGCCGAUGCUUCAUUUGCAAAAAGAAAGGCCAUUAUGCCAAAGAUUGCCCCAAACAAAAAAGACAAAGCAAUCAGACUUCUUGAGCAUUUAUAGGCCACUACUGAUUAUUCUCCUCACAAUGAUGAAAUUGAGUCUUACUUCUCAGAACAAGAGGAGCCUACUGAUGAAACAGUGUUUACACUACAAAACUCUUCCGAUGAUUCUGAAAAUGAUGAGUUUCAAACUAUUUCCACCAACAACUAUUGUCCCUUGACACUACCACCCCUAUCCCUUCCAUUAAACUCCACAUUUUACCCUCCAAAUUCCAGAGACUGAUUCCUACCAUUGGUCUUCUUUGAUACAGGGGGCCCAACAAAGUAUGUUAAAUCCCGACAUACUUCCAUCUCAGUCUUGGCAACAUUAUGAAGAAAAUUUCAAAGCAAUCAAAUGGAAAACUCUUCACCACCACCUUGAUUACCAGAAAACCCAUUGGUAUUCAAAUCUUUCCAAAUUGUGUUAUCUGGACGAAAGUCAUUGGUUCCCAUCUGCCUAAUAAGGAUAUCUUGUUAGGUUUUGAUAUCAUUCACCAGAUAAAACACUUCAAAUCAUUCCUACUGGAAUCUGAGUUAAGUCCAUG